RNAcentral lists this ribosomal RNA (779 nucleotides) under Rhodobacteraceae bacterium ACEMC 26-5. Its description in RNAcentral is "bacterial SSU rRNA". It matches the Rfam family "Bacterial small subunit ribosomal RNA", at positions 42 to 872 of the family's 1533-position model. The record is from RNAcentral. Lineage: Bacteria; Pseudomonadati; Pseudomonadota; Alphaproteobacteria; Rhodobacterales; Paracoccaceae.
GCAGGCCUAACACAUGCAAGUCGAGCGCACCUUCGGGUGAGCGGCGGACGGGUUAGUAACGCGUGGGAACAUACCCUUCUCUACGGAAUAGCCUCGGGAAACUGAGAGUAAUACCGUAUACGCCCUUCGGGGGAAAGAUUUAUCGGAGAUGGAUUGGCCCGCGUUAGAUUAGAUAGUUGGUGGGGUAAUGGCCUACCAAGUCUACGAUCUAUAGCUGGUUUUAGAGGAUGAUCAGCAACACUGGGACUGAGACACGGCCCAGACUCCUACGGGAGGCAGCAGUGGGGAAUCUUAGACAAUGGGCGAAAGCCUGAUCUAGCCAUGCCGCGUGAGUGAUGAAGGCCUUAGGGUCGUAAAGCUCUUUCGCUGGGGAAGAUAAUGACUGUACCCAGUAAAGAAACCCCGGCUAACUCCGUGCCAGCAGCCGCGGUAAUACGGAGGGGGUUAGCGUUGUUCGGAAUUACUGGGCGUAAAGCGCGCGUAGGCGGAUUAGAAAGUUAGGGGUGAAAUCCCGGGGCUCAACCUCGGAACUGCCUCUAAAACUACUAGUCUAGAGUUCGAGAGAGGUGAGUGGAAUUCCGAGUGUAGAGGUGAAAUUCGUAGAUAUUCGGAGGAACACCAGUGGCGAAGGCGGCUCACUGGCUCGAUACUGACGCUGAGGUGCGAAAGUGUGGGGAGCAAACAGGAUUAGAUACCCUGGUAGUCCACACCGUAAACGAUGAAUGCCAGACGUCAGCAAGCAUGCUUGUUGGUGUCACACCUAACGGAUAAGCAUCCGC